Molecule: transfer-messenger RNA, 381 nt
Filed under: Corynebacterium poyangense
Lineage: Bacteria; Bacillati; Actinomycetota; Actinomycetes; Mycobacteriales; Corynebacteriaceae
Description: Standard tmRNA
Rfam family: transfer-messenger RNA
About the family: Bacterial tmRNA, also known as 10Sa RNA or SsrA, is named for its dual tRNA and mRNA-like properties. Its role is to liberate the mRNA from a stalled ribosome. To accomplish this part of the tmRNA is used as a reading frame that ends in a translation stop signal.
Source: Rfam by way of RNAcentral
GGGGCUGAUGUGGUUUCGACUUCGCGCAUUAAGCCAGGGGAAGCGUGCCGGUGCAGGCUAGAGACCACCGUAAGCGUCGUAGCAACUGAUAAGCGCCGAGAAAACCUCUCAGCGUGACUACGCCCUCGCUGCCUAAUUCAGCGACCGCGUGUCUGUCGGCCCCAGGAUUGUUCCCGUUCUGGGCGCCGGCAUCGACUUAGGGAACUAGCCUUUCCGCCGAGUUAGCGGGGCGGGAAGGGACUUCAUACCGUUAACUGGGCUCAUCAUCUGGACACGUUCGCCUGAUCCAGAGGGUCGAGGAAAGAUAGCGCGCGAACUGCGCACGGAGAAGCCCUGGCAAGAUGUCGGAGGACCCGGGUUCAAUUCCCGGCAGCUCCACAA